UUCGGAUGGCCCUGUUGCAGGACUAAAGACCGCUUUCUAAUCCAUUGAUCUUCGGAUUAAUAUUCAUAACAUCUGGCCUCAAAUCAGGUAGGACUACCCGCUGAACUUAAGCAUAUCAAUAAGCGGAGGAAAAGAAACUAACAAGGAUUCCCCUAGUAACGGCGAGUGAAGCGGGAAGAGCUCAAAUUUGAAAUCUGGUAGCCUUCGGUUGCCCGAGUUGUAAUCUAGAGAAGUGUUUUCCGCGUUGGCCCAUGUACAAGUCCCUUGGAACAGGGCGUCAUAGAGGGUGAGAAUCCCGUCCUUGACAUGGACCCCCAAUGCUUUGUGAUACACUUUCAACGAGUCGAGUUGUUUGGGAAUGCAGCUCAAAAUGGGUGGUGAAUUCCAUCUAAAGCUAAAUAUUGGCGAGAGACCGAUAGCGAACAAGUACCGUGAGGGAAAGAUGAAAAGCACUUUGGAAAGAGAGUUAAACAGUACGUGAAAUUGUUGAAAGGGAAACGAUUGAAGUCAGUCAUGCUCUUUGGAUUAAGCCGUUCUGCGGUGUAUUUCAUUGAGCGGGGUCAACAUCAGUUUUGAUCGCUGGAAAAGGGCAGGAGGAAGGUAGCACUCUCGGGUGAACUUAUAGCCUCUUGUCGUAUACAGUGAUUGGGACUGAGGAACGCAGCAUGCCUUUUGGCCGGGAUUCGUCCACGUACAUGCUUAGGA
Molecule: ribosomal RNA, 705 nt
Filed under: Naganishia friedmannii
Lineage: Eukaryota; Fungi; Basidiomycota; Tremellomycetes; Filobasidiales; Filobasidiaceae
Description: eukaryotic LSU rRNA
Rfam family: Eukaryotic large subunit ribosomal RNA (bases 74-705)
Source: RNAcentral